GCCUUUGUGGUGUAAUUGGAUAGAACGCCCGACUAGCAAUUAGAAGGUCUUGUAUUCGAAUUACGGCAAAGGCA
Molecule: transfer RNA, 74 nt
Filed under: Stegodyphus mimosarum
Lineage: Eukaryota; Metazoa; Arthropoda; Arachnida; Araneae; Eresidae
Rfam family: tRNA
About the family: Transfer RNA (tRNA) molecules are approximately 80 nucleotides in length. Their secondary structure includes four short double-helical elements and three loops (D, anti-codon, and T loops). Further hydrogen bonds mediate the characteristic L-shaped molecular structure. tRNAs have two regions of fundamental functional importance: the anti-codon, which is responsible for specific mRNA codon recognition, and the 3' end, to which the tRNAs corresponding amino acid is attached (by aminoacyl-tRNA synthetases). tRNAs cope with the degeneracy of the genetic code in two manners: having more than one tRNA (with a specific anti-codon) for a particular amino acid; and 'wobble' base-pairing, i.e. permitting non-standard base-pairing at the 3rd anti-codon position.
Source: Rfam by way of RNAcentral